GUCGGGCAUGGUGGUGCAUGUCUGUAAUCCCAACCAUUGGGAGGCAGAGGCAAGAGAAUUACAAGUCUUCAAGGCCACUCUUAAGCAACUUAGCAAGAUUCCAUCUCAA
Molecule: small RNA, 109 nt
Filed under: Marmota monax (woodchuck)
Lineage: Eukaryota; Metazoa; Chordata; Mammalia; Rodentia; Sciuridae
Source: RNAcentral